Molecule: ribosomal RNA, 253 nt
Filed under: uncultured bacterium
Lineage: Bacteria
Description: partial 16S ribosomal RNA
Rfam family: Bacterial small subunit ribosomal RNA
Source: RNAcentral
UACGGAGGGUGCGAGCGUUGUUCGGAAUCACUGGGCGUAAAGGGCGUGUAGGCGGUCCGCUAAGUCUGAUGUGAAAGCCCGGGGCUCACCCCCGGAAGUGCAUUGGAAACUGGCGGACUCGAGUCCCGGAGAGGAGAGUGGAAUUCCUGGUGUAGCGGUGAGAUGCGUAGAUAUCAGGAGGAACACCGGUGGCGAAGGCGGCUCUCUGGACGGUGACUGACGCUGAGACGCGAAAGCGUGGGGAGCAAACAGG